This 460-nucleotide ribosomal RNA is filed under the name uncultured bacterium. RNAcentral's name for it is "partial 16S ribosomal RNA". It matches the Rfam family "Bacterial small subunit ribosomal RNA", at positions 338 to 795 of the family's 1533-position model. The record is from RNAcentral.
CCUACGGGAGGCAGCAGUGAGGAAUAUUGGUCAAUGGGCGCGAGCCUGCACCAGCCAAGUAGCGUGAAGGAUGACUGCCCUACGGGUUGUAAACUUCGUUUAUAAAGGCAUAAAGUGAGGCACGUGUGCCUUUUUGUAUGUCUUUUAUGAAUAAGGAUCGGCUAACUCUGUGCCAGCAGCCGCGGUAAUCAGGAGGCACCGAGCGUUAUCCGGAUUUCUUGGGUUUAAAGGGAGCGUAGAUGGGUUGUUAAGUCAGUUGUGAAAGUUUGCGGCUCAACCGUAAAAUUGCAAUUGAUACUGGCAGUCUUGAGUACAGUUGAGGUAGGCGGAAUUCGUGGUGUAGCGGUGAAAGGCUUAGAUAUCACGAAGAACUCCGAGUGCGAAGGCAGCUUACUAAACUGCCACUGACACUGAUGCUCGAAAGUGUGGGUAUCAAACAGGAUUAGAUACCCCAGUAGUC